GCCCGUAUAGCUCAGUGGUAGAGCGUCGGUCUUGUAAACUGAAGGUCCGUAUUUCAAUUCAACGUGAUGGCA
This 72-nucleotide transfer RNA is filed under the name Brassica oleracea var. oleracea. It matches the Rfam family "tRNA". From Rfam's summary of the family: Transfer RNA (tRNA) molecules are approximately 80 nucleotides in length. Their secondary structure includes four short double-helical elements and three loops (D, anti-codon, and T loops). Lineage: Eukaryota; Viridiplantae; Streptophyta; Magnoliopsida; Brassicales; Brassicaceae. The record is from Rfam by way of RNAcentral.